AUUUGCUCAUAGAUGAUAUGCGUAGUACUCCCAGAACUCAUUAAGUUGGUAGUACUGUGAGCGAAUAG
This 68-nucleotide microRNA precursor is filed under the name Pongo abelii (Sumatran orangutan). Its description in RNAcentral is "miRNA". The record is from RNAcentral. Lineage: Eukaryota; Metazoa; Chordata; Mammalia; Primates; Hominidae.